This 497-nucleotide ribosomal RNA is filed under the name uncultured bacterium. RNAcentral's name for it is "partial 16S ribosomal RNA". It matches the Rfam family "Bacterial small subunit ribosomal RNA", at positions 28 to 507 of the family's 1533-position model. The record is from RNAcentral.
GAUGAACGCUGGCGGCGUGCUUAACACAUGCAAGUCGAGCGAACGGACGAGUAUCUUGCUUUUCUGAUGUUAGCGGCGGACGGGAGAGUAACAUGUGGAUAACCUACCUAUAAGACUGGGUUAACUUCGGGAAACCGGUGCUAAUACCGGAUCAUAUUUUGAACCGCAUGGUUCAAAAGUUACAGACGGUCUUGCUGUCACUGAUACAUGGCACCGCGCUGCUUUAGUUAGUUGGUAAGGUAACGGCUUACCAGGGCAACGGUGGCUAGCCGACCCGAGAACGUGUAGCGCGCCACUGGAGGUGAGCGGCGACCCAGAGUCUGAGGGACGGCAGAGGUAGCGAAUCGUGGGCGAUGGGGGGAAGACUGACGGAGCAACGCCGCGUGGAUGCUGAAGGUCCUCGGGUGGGAAAACUCUGUUAGUAGGGUAGACCGCAUGUGUAAGGAGCUGUGCUCAUCUUGACGGUACCUGAUGAAGAAGCCACGGCUAACUACGUG